Ricinus communis (castor bean) is the source of this 107-nucleotide non-coding RNA. Lineage: Eukaryota; Viridiplantae; Streptophyta; Magnoliopsida; Malpighiales; Euphorbiaceae. The record is from Rfam.
UGCUCAUGAUGUGGACAAUGCCUCAAAAGAUCCUUAUAUCUCUCAUAAACAUCAUACAAUGUUUCAUCCCUUUCCUGUCUAAAAUUUGAAAUUUUGGACCUCAACUU